RNAcentral lists this ribosomal RNA (666 nucleotides) under Trichormus azollae GJ2_U16. Its description in RNAcentral is "bacterial SSU rRNA". It matches the Rfam family "Bacterial small subunit ribosomal RNA", at positions 100 to 800 of the family's 1533-position model. The record is from RNAcentral. Lineage: Bacteria; Bacillati; Cyanobacteriota; Cyanophyceae; Nostocales; Nostocaceae.
GGACGGGUGAGUAACGCGUGAGAAUCUGGCUUCAGGUCGGGGAUAACUACUGGAAACGGUGGCUAAUACCGGAUGUGCCGAGAGGUGAAAGGCUAGCUGCCUGAAGAUGAGCUCGCGUCUGAUUAGCUAGUUGGUGUGGUAAGAGCGCACCAAGGCGACGAUCAGUAGCUGGUCUGAGAGGAUGAUCAGCCACACUGGGACUGAGACACGGCCCAGACUCCUACGGGAGGCAGCAGUGGGGAAUUUUCCGCAAUGGGCGAAAGCCUGACGGAGCAAUACCGCGUGAGGGAGGAAGGCUCUUGGGUUGUAAACCUCUUUUCUCAAGGAAUAAGUUCUGAAGGUACUUGAGGAAUAAGCAUCGGCUAACUCCGUGCCAGCAGCCGCGGUAAUACGGAGGAUGCAAGCGUUAUCCGGAAUGAUUGGGCGUAAAGCGUCCGCAGGUGGCAGUGUAAGUCUGCUGUUAAAGAGUCUAGCUUAACUAGAUAAAAGCAGUGGAAACUACACAGCUAGAGUACGUUCGGGGUAGAGGGAAUUCCUGGUGUAGCGGUGAAAUGCGUAGAGAUCAGGAAGAACACCGGUGGCGAAGGCGCUCUACUAGGCCGUAACUGACACUGAGGGACGAAAGCUAGGGGAGCGAAUGGGAUUAGAUACCCCAGUAGUCCUAGC